Molecule: ribosomal RNA, 434 nt
Filed under: uncultured bacterium
Lineage: Bacteria
Description: bacterial SSU rRNA
Rfam family: Bacterial small subunit ribosomal RNA
Source: RNAcentral
GUGAACGCUAGCGGCGUGCCUUAAGCAUGCAAGUCGAACGAUUCUGAUUUAUCAGUUUAGUGGCGGACGGGUGAGUAAUACCUAGGAAUCUACCCUAAAGUGAGGAAUAACUCCCGGAAACGGGGGCUAAUACCACAUGUGGACGCAAGUCUAAAGCUCUUAACUGGGCGCUUUUGGAGGAGCCUAGGUCCCAUCAGCUUGUUGGUAGGGUAAAAGCCUACCAAGGCUAUGACGGGUAGCUGGUCUGAGAGGAUGAUCAGCCACAAUGGCACUGAGACACGGGCCAUACAUCUACGGAUGGCAGCAACUGGGAAUCUUGCGCAAUGGGCGAAAGCCUGACGCAGCGACGCCGCGUGGAGGAUGAAGGCCUUCGGGUUGUAAACUCCUUUUGAGCCGAUAUCAUGUCGGCUAGAAUAAGCACCUGCUAACUACGU